UCAUCCUCGCAGUUUGUGAGGCGCUUUCACAAACAGCAUGGCCAACAUUAAGAACAGAAUCAAGCAAUGCUAUUCCGAUCCAUUUAUACGAAAACUGGUGUUCAGUUGGGGCCUGUUUCUUGGAGCCAUCUACAUUGCACGUGACAUGGCAGCAGCAGAGGAACUUGCUGCAGCAGAAAUGGCAGCAUCUGCAGCGCAAGGGGUAGCAAACCAGGCUGAUAAAUUGGCUGGAGAGAUUUCCCGACUUGCUGCAAACUAAAACAUGCAGGAAGAUCUAUCUCAAACGGAUUCAGGAAAAUCUGAUUGGUCCUAGUGACUGCGACAAACCUUCAUUAGAAGCGAGUGAAGUUGACAGUAUAUGUGUGAAAAACAUGGGAUGAAACAUGAAUUCUAGAUGAUGACAAAUGACCGUGUGCUUGCUAGGUUAGAUGUGUAUCACAUUGUGUGUGUGUUUUUACUUGUUAUACAACAUUUUAUUGUGUAAUAAAACUAUGAAUGGUUAGAAACCAUCUUUAUAAAUAA
Long non-coding RNA from Ylistrum balloti, 522 nucleotides. RefSeq lists it as uncharacterized. The record is from RefSeq and is a predicted model, not a curated record. The transcript is spliced from 3 exons. NCBI's taxonomy places the organism in Eukaryota, Metazoa, Mollusca, Bivalvia, Pectinida, Pectinidae.